This 142-nucleotide transfer RNA is filed under the name Dipodomys ordii (Ord's kangaroo rat). It matches the Rfam family "tRNA". Rfam says of the family: Transfer RNA (tRNA) molecules are approximately 80 nucleotides in length. Their secondary structure includes four short double-helical elements and three loops (D, anti-codon, and T loops). Lineage: Eukaryota; Metazoa; Chordata; Mammalia; Rodentia; Heteromyidae. The record is from Rfam by way of RNAcentral.
GGCGCUAUAGCUCAAGUGGUAGAGCACUAGCCUUGAGCUGAAGAGCUGAGGGACAGCAUUCAGGCCCAGAGUUCAAGCCCCAAGACUGAAAAAAAAAAAAAAAAAAAGCUAAAAGCCCUGAGUUCAAGCCCUAGUACUGCUA